RNAcentral lists this transfer RNA (77 nucleotides) under Binataceae bacterium (SeqCode). RNAcentral's name for it is "tRNA-Lys". It matches the Rfam family "tRNA". From Rfam's summary of the family: Transfer RNA (tRNA) molecules are approximately 80 nucleotides in length. Their secondary structure includes four short double-helical elements and three loops (D, anti-codon, and T loops). Further hydrogen bonds mediate the characteristic L-shaped molecular structure. tRNAs have two regions of fundamental functional importance: the anti-codon, which is responsible for specific mRNA codon recognition, and the 3' end, to which the tRNAs corresponding amino acid is attached (by aminoacyl-tRNA synthetases). tRNAs cope with the degeneracy of the genetic code in two manners: having more than one tRNA (with a specific anti-codon) for a particular amino acid; and 'wobble' base-pairing, i.e. permitting non-standard base-pairing at the 3rd anti-codon position. The record is from RNAcentral. Lineage: Bacteria; Candidatus Binatota; Binatia (SeqCode); Binatales (SeqCode); Binataceae (SeqCode).
GAGCCGUUAGCUCAGGCCGGUAGAGCAUCUGACUUUUAAUCAGAGGGUCGCGGGUUCGAGUCCCGCACGGCUCACCA